AGAGUUUGAUCCUGGCUCAGAACGAGCGCUGGCGGCGUGGAUAAGACAUGCAAGUCGCACGGAGAAAAGAUAGUUUACUAGCUUUUCUGAGUGGCGCACGGGUGAGUAACACGUGAGCAACCUGCCUCUUAGUGGGGGAUAGCCCUGGGAAACCGGGAUUAAUACCGCAUAUCAUCGCAAGAUGAAAGCAGCAAUGCGCUAAGAGAGGGGCUCGCGGCCUAUUAGUUAGUUGGUGAGGUAACGGCUCACCAAGGCGAUGACGGGUAGCCGGUCUGAGAGGAUGUCCGGCCACACUGGAACUGAGACACGGUCCAGACACCUACGGGUGGCAGCAGUCGAGAAUCAUUCACAAUGGGGGAAACCCUGAUGGUGCGACGCCGCGUGGGGGAAGAAGGUCUUCGGAUUGUAAACCCCUGUCAUGUGGGAGCAAGCUAGCAAUAGUUGAUAGUACCACAAGAGGAAGAGACGGCUGACUCUGUGCCAGCAGCCGCGGUAAUACAGAGGUCUCAAGCGUUGUUCGGAAUCACUGGGCGUAAAGGGUACGUA
Molecule: ribosomal RNA, 546 nt
Filed under: uncultured bacterium
Lineage: Bacteria
Description: bacterial SSU rRNA
Rfam family: Bacterial small subunit ribosomal RNA
Source: RNAcentral